This is a non-coding RNA of Ornithorhynchus anatinus (platypus), 72 nucleotides long. NCBI's taxonomy places the organism in Eukaryota, Metazoa, Chordata, Mammalia, Monotremata, Ornithorhynchidae. The record is from Rfam.
AACAGUGUGGCUUAGUGGAAAGAGCCCGGUCUUGGGAGUCAGAAGUCUUGGGUUCUAAUCCCGACUCUGCCA